Molecule: unclassified non-coding RNA, 217 nt
Filed under: Hevea brasiliensis (rubber tree)
Lineage: Eukaryota; Viridiplantae; Streptophyta; Magnoliopsida; Malpighiales; Euphorbiaceae
Source: RNAcentral
GGAGAAAGAGCCCUAGUAGAAGGAGGAUAAAAAGAGUUUGCUAUCGCUGAAGCGGGCUACUGCUUCAUUGAAUUGUCUUGCUUCAUUAGAUGCGGUUACCCCUAAUUCUAAUAAAAGGUGGCGCCCUACAUACAUUGAGCGGACUUCAUUCCUUGGGCUUGUGCCCGAUCCGAUUAACAGCUUCAUCCCCCUUUUAUGGCCUUUUCCACCAAGGUUG